Molecule: ribosomal RNA, 373 nt
Filed under: uncultured organism
Description: bacterial SSU rRNA
Rfam family: Bacterial small subunit ribosomal RNA
Source: RNAcentral
CGGGGGAGCAAGCGUUGUUCGGAUUUACUGGGCGUAAAGGGCGCGUAGGCGGCCAGCACAAGUCAGUUGUGAAGUCUCCGGGCUUAACUCGGAAAGGUCAACUGAUACUGUGCGGCUAGAGUGCAGAAGGGGCAACUGGAAUUCUCGGUGUAGCGGUGAAAUGCGUAGAUAUCGAGAGGAACACCUGCGGCGAAGGCGGGUUGCUGGGCUGACACUGACGCUGAUGCGCGAAAGCCAGGGGAGCGAACGGGAUUAGAUACCCCGGUAGUCCUGGCCUUAAACGAUGGAUGCUUGGUGUCUGGAGUUUUAUAGUCUCCGGGUGCCGUAGCUAACGCGUUAAGCAUCCCGCCUGGGGAGUACGGUCGCAAGACUG